CAUAGUAGGCAGACGGGUGAGUAACGCGUGGGAACGUACCCUUACACUACGGAAUAGCCUCUGGAAACGGAAGGUAAUACCGUAUACGCCCUCCGGGGGAAAGAUUUAUCGGUGAAGGAUCGGCCCGCGUUAGAUUAGUUUGUUGGUGGGGUAAUGGCCUACCAAGACUACGAUCUAUAGCUGGUCUGAGAGGAUGAUCAGCCACACUGGGACUGAGACACGGCCCAGACUCCUACGGGAGGCAGCAGUGGGGAAUCUUGCACAAUGGGCGAAAGCCUGAUGCAGCCAUGCCGCGUGAAUGAUGAAGGCCUUAGGGUUGUAAAAUUCUUUCGCCAGGGAUGAUAAUGACAGUACCUGGUAAAGAAGCCCCGGCUAACUUCGUGCCAGCAGCCGCGGUAAUACGAAGGGGGCUAGCGUUGUUCGGAAUUACUGGGCGUAAAGCGCGCGUAG
RNAcentral lists this ribosomal RNA (450 nucleotides) under uncultured Alphaproteobacteria bacterium. RNAcentral's name for it is "bacterial SSU rRNA". It matches the Rfam family "Bacterial small subunit ribosomal RNA", at positions 90 to 574 of the family's 1533-position model. Lineage: Bacteria; Pseudomonadati; Pseudomonadota; Alphaproteobacteria. The record is from RNAcentral.